Molecule: transfer RNA, 71 nt
Filed under: Loxodonta africana (African savanna elephant)
Lineage: Eukaryota; Metazoa; Chordata; Mammalia; Proboscidea; Elephantidae
Rfam family: tRNA
About the family: Transfer RNA (tRNA) molecules are approximately 80 nucleotides in length. Their secondary structure includes four short double-helical elements and three loops (D, anti-codon, and T loops).
Source: Rfam by way of RNAcentral
GCCUUGGUGGUUCAGUGGUAGAAAUCUUGCCUUUCAUGUGGGAGAUCCAGGUUUGAUUCCUGGCCAGUGCG